Molecule: non-coding RNA, 916 nt
Organism: Chelonoidis abingdonii (Abingdon island giant tortoise)
Lineage: Eukaryota; Metazoa; Chordata; Testudines; Testudinidae
Source: RefSeq, a predicted model, not a curated record
UCCUGAUUGGCUGCGGGAGGGUGUUCCGCACUGUGAAUGGCUGUCUGCCUUGCCAGUCAAAGGGGAGGGGCCCAUGGGCUGCAGCAGCAUGUCUCGCAAGCUAAGCAGGGUCAGGCCUUAGCAGGGCGUGGAUGGGAGACUUCCCCGGGCAGCCUCCAAGCAGCAGUGCCGUGUGCACCCGGAGGGGGGGUCGUCUGUGGGUAGGGAGCUGCUGGUGAUGUCAGUGCCCUAGGAUGAGAGCUGUGGUGGUGCCCCUGCUGGUGCUUGGGUACUGCCACCAUUAGCUAUGGUGCCUGGGAAAGGGGGGCUGAGCAGUCGUGGUCACUGAUGAUCCUGUGGUGCUUUGCACCAGAGUUAAAUCUAGGGCUCUGGCCAGGUUUCAGCUGGGAUAUAUGGAUAUUGAAUACAUGCCUUGAAGACUCACCCAAACACUCUUCCCCAACAAACAAAGAACUCUGAAAGAGAAAAGACCAAAGAGGAAGAAAAUGAAAAAUUCUGGAACUUCAGCUGAGCGGUUUAAUUGUUGGAGAUGUCUCCUGCUCAUAUUACACUAACAUGCCCACAACUCAUUUAUCUCGUUACUCGAGCUGCCCACAGUUCAUGUGAUCAAACAACAAAUUGAGGUGGAGAGAAGCAUUUUGAAAUUCAGCCUUAAUAUACCACCUAUCACGCAACUGUUUGCUAAAUGGACUUGCAAAACAAUUUGGGGAGUUCUUUCUCCCCUCAGUGCCCUAUUCCCCAUCAAAGGGCCUUUGUGUUUUUGUUACAAGACUGAAAAAAUCCAAGUCUAACUUUAUUGUUAGCAAUAGUGCUGCCUGUUUGGUUUUUAAGGGUAGGAAGGAGGUGAACUGAGGCAUCUCUGAUUUGCUGGUGUAACAGUGCUGUAAAAUACCAACUGAGCCUAUUUCAAAGAGUC